This is a small nucleolar RNA of Delphinapterus leucas (beluga whale), 135 nucleotides long. Ensembl annotates it as small nucleolar RNA U109. The record is from Ensembl. NCBI's taxonomy places the organism in Eukaryota, Metazoa, Chordata, Mammalia, Artiodactyla, Monodontidae.
UUGCAUGCGGAAAUGUCUGCUCCUCAUUCCUUUGGAAGCAGGAAUACAUCCAUAACAUGCUACGUUAAAAAAGGAGUUCUCAGGGCUGCCAAUCUUACAGUAGAGGUUGAGUAGUAACACAUUUCUCCUACAUUA